AUUGAACGCUGGCGGCAUGCCUUACACAUGCAAGUCGAACGGCAGCACGGGAGCAAUCCUGGUGGCGAGUGGCGAACGGGUGAGUAAUAUAUCGGAACGUGCCCGGUCGUGGGGAUAACGUAGCGAAAGCUACGCUAAUACCGCAUACGAUCUAUGGAUGAAAGCGGGGGAUCGCAAGACCUCGCGCGAUUGGAGCGGCCGAUAUCAGAUUAGGUAGUUGGUGAGGUAAAGGCUCACCAAGCCGACGAUCUGUAGCUGGUCUGAGAGGACGACCAGCCACACUGGGACUGAGACACGGCCCAGACUCCUACGGGAGGCAGCAGUGGGGAAUUUUGGACAAUGGGCGCAAGCCUGAUCCAGCAAUGCCGCGUGCAGGAUG
Molecule: ribosomal RNA, 379 nt
Filed under: uncultured bacterium
Lineage: Bacteria
Description: bacterial SSU rRNA
Rfam family: Bacterial small subunit ribosomal RNA
Source: RNAcentral